This 51-nucleotide ribosomal RNA is filed under the name Curvularia protuberata. Its description in RNAcentral is "partial 28S ribosomal RNA". RNAcentral also lists the same sequence under 5 other names. Lineage: Eukaryota; Fungi; Ascomycota; Dothideomycetes; Pleosporales; Pleosporaceae. The record is from RNAcentral.
GUUUGACCUCGGAUCAGGUAGGGAUACCCGCUGAACUUAAGCAUAUCAAUA